Pangasianodon hypophthalmus (striped catfish) is the source of this 413-nucleotide long non-coding RNA. RefSeq lists it as uncharacterized. NCBI's taxonomy places the organism in Eukaryota, Metazoa, Chordata, Actinopteri, Siluriformes, Pangasiidae. The record is from RefSeq and is a predicted model, not a curated record. The transcript has 2 exons.
CCUCUUCGGAGGAAGACCUGAGUUCUUCGAAGCUGUGUAGUUUACGAGAAAUCAGCCUCGGAGGUGCUCCGGGGUGGGCUGCUAUUCCAUGGAAAAGGGAUUUUACAGUCUUGGGUGCUGUUAUAUAAUGAUCACCAAAGGUUUCUGUAACGUCCACGCUGAUUUAAAAACCCGCAGAGACCCGCGCGAGCUGUUUCCUGUGCCAUGUCAGCCGCCAUGUUUGCUUUUCAACAAAACUACAACGUCUGUAAGGCAGAGCAUAAACACCAGAAGCCUGGUUCAUCCAGUCCUGGUCUCCUCGUCUCCGCCGCUCCUGAGCCUGCUGCUCUGCGUAGAGGAUGAGUAAAGCCGAAACCUGCUCUUGGUCUUUAAACGGGCUGGGCCUGUAGCUGGUCCGGAGCCAAGCACGAUAC